This is a long non-coding RNA of Girardinichthys multiradiatus, 395 nucleotides long. RefSeq lists it as uncharacterized. The record is from RefSeq and is a predicted model, not a curated record. Lineage: Eukaryota; Metazoa; Chordata; Actinopteri; Cyprinodontiformes; Goodeidae. The transcript is spliced from 4 exons.
AGCUGGUGGCCACAGCUUCCCUGUAGUCCUCUAACAAGAGACCGCUGACAAAAAAAAAAAAAAUCAAUCGACCAUUUGUUAUCCCCAAAACACAUUUAGGAAACAAAGCACCAUAACAACAGUCGACGUGUUAAGGUGGAGGGGCAAAAGAGGCAGACCUGAGCAGCAUUCAGCAGAGCAAGGCUCAAUCUGGAAUAGAAUGGAAUGAAAUGAAAGAUGAUCUGGACAUGUAUUCAGUUGACAGCUCUCCAGACAGUGAUGAUGAGGGUGUCAACAAGAAACAAAGAAGAAAAAGAAGCUGACGAAAAUGAAGAAGAAGAGCUCCAGCUCAUCAUCAUCUUCUUCCUCUUCCUCUUCUUCCUCCUCCAGUAGCUCCUCAGAGAGUGAUAGCGAAG